UAAGUCGCCCUUUUCGGGGUUUUACUUAGCAAGUUGUUCUUUUCUUUUUUUAGGCGAAGUAUGUUUUGACUGCAUCAACAUUCACAAGACGCGUGAACUAUUCACCAUCCAUAGUUGUAGGGAUCAAAGUGUAAGACCUCAAUUUUGACCCCAAGAUCCCUCAUACUAUUCUCAUCACAUGCAUUAACAUUGGGAUCACACGUUGGCA
This 208-nucleotide long non-coding RNA is filed under the name Lathyrus oleraceus (garden pea). RNAcentral describes it as "Pisum sativum (pea) long non-coding RNA (PSAT_LNC031484)". The record is from RNAcentral. Lineage: Eukaryota; Viridiplantae; Streptophyta; Magnoliopsida; Fabales; Fabaceae.